GCACGGGUGCGUAACGCGUGGGAAUCUACCCUUAGGUUCGGAAUAACUCAGAGAAAUUUGAGCUAAUACCGGAUAAUGUCUUCGGACCAAAGAUUUAUCGCCUUUGGAUGAGCCCGCGUAAGAUUAGCUAGUUGGUAGGGUAAAGGCCUACCAAGGCGACGAUCUUUAGCUGGUCUGAGAGGAUGAUCAGCCACACUGGGACUGAGACACGGCCCAGACUCCUACGGGAGGCAGCAGUGGGGAAUAUUGGACAAUGGGCGCAAGCCUGAUCCAGCAAUGCCGCGUGAGUGAUGAAGGCCUUCGGGUCGUAAAGCUCUUUUACCAGGGAUGAUAAUGACAGUACCUGGAGAAUAAGCUCCGGCUAACUCCGUGCCAGCAGCCGCGGUAAUACGGAGGGAGCUAGCGUUGUUCGGAAUUACUGGGCGUAAAGCGCGCGUAGGCGGCUUGCCAAGUCAGGGGUGAAAUCCCGGGGCUCAACCCCGGAACUGCCCUUGAAACUAGCAGGCUAGAAUCUUGGAGAGGUCAGUGGAAUUCCGAGUGUAGAGGUGAAAUUCGUAGAUAUUCGGAAGAACACCAGUGGCGAAGGCGACUGACUGGACA
This 600-nucleotide ribosomal RNA is filed under the name Qipengyuania flava. RNAcentral describes it as "bacterial SSU rRNA". It matches the Rfam family "Bacterial small subunit ribosomal RNA", at positions 100 to 735 of the family's 1533-position model. Lineage: Bacteria; Pseudomonadati; Pseudomonadota; Alphaproteobacteria; Sphingomonadales; Erythrobacteraceae. The record is from RNAcentral.